Molecule: ribosomal RNA, 253 nt
Filed under: uncultured bacterium
Lineage: Bacteria
Description: partial 16S ribosomal RNA
Rfam family: Bacterial small subunit ribosomal RNA
Source: RNAcentral
UACGUAGGCAGCGAGCGUUGUUCGGAGUUACUGGGCGUAAAGCGUGCGUAGGCGGUUUUGUAAGUUUGGUGUGAAAUCUCCCGGCUCAACUGGGAGGGUGCGCCGAAUACUGAAUGACUAGAGUGCGGGAGAGGUGAGUGGAAUUCCUGGUGUAGCGGUGAAAUGCGUAGAUAUCAGGAGGAACACCGGUGGUGUAGACGGCUCACUGGACCGUAACUGACGCUGAGACACGAAAGCGUGGGUAGCAAACAGG